CAAGGUCACACAGCUCUUGCGAGGUGGAGAUGGCUCACAGCUGAGAGGAGGAGGGGAGGAGGGGUCUGCAGAGGGAGAUAACAGAGGCAUAUAGGAUGAGAUCCUUGUUUCUCUCAAAUGCUUGGUAAGCACCUUUUCCUCUCUCACUCUGUAGGGACUGGAGGAGGAAGAGAAGGACAGAGAAGAAGCGGAGUGGAGCUGGUGACGGCUUUCAGCCAAGCCCGGGAGCUGUGACUGCUGCACCCUCACAAGAUUUAUUUUUAGACAGCCCCCAAGUGCCAGCAUGCAGGGCUUACCACUCGGGCUGCAGGAGUGCAGGGGAGGAGCUGAGGCGGGCUGGAGUCCUGAGAAGACCUUCUACCUGCAGGAGCUGGGCUCGGGAUGGGAGUGGAUCUGGUGCCCGUGUGCGAUGAACACGCUUGUAUAAGUAGAUUAAGGGACAUUCAUACAAGUACAGAGGUAUCCUGUCCAGUCUGGGCCUCACCCCUACCUCCCUCCACCAUCAAAUGGGUACCAGGAGAAAGCUGCUGUAUGAAGACUCGGGAUGGGAAGAGUCAAGCACUGGGUGACCUCGAGGCUGACUUUGGCACGGACUGCACUUCAUAACCAAGACUUCAGGGGCUGUUUUGUCCCUGGAUAUGAGGCCUGGCUGUCUCUCUCAUCGACUCCUCUCAGUAAGUUUCAUUCGUUCAGAGAUUCCCCACUGAACAUGCCCUCUGUAUAGCAUCUGAGUCAGAUGCUUUGGGGUUUUCUGGUCGUCUGUGUGUUUUAGAUAGGAGAAAGCACCACGUCUGUCUCUUGUUCGGAACAGCUGAACACCAGACUGGCUGUAGCAGAAAAAUGGCAGAAUGUAUACUGGAUGGAUGGAUAGGCGGGAGGAUGCAGGAGAGAGGGAAGGAAAGAAUAGCUAGCCAGAGCAAAGAGCAACUCCCCAUUGACCAAGUGGCCCCUGGGACUGGGGUGAGAUGCUGAUUCAGGACCUAUAAUGACAUUUCUCCUCAUUUCCAGGCAGAAAGCCAAUCUGGAUGCCCUGGAUUUCAUAGACUGCCAUCUAAUCCAGUUAGGGGAGGAAGUAGAAGUAAUGAAAUCAAGGGCGAGGUCUCCAGAGGUGCCCCCGUCAGUUCUGAAAGCAGGGACACAUUGUUGAGAGAGUCCCUCCCCCCACAACCUGCCGGCCUGAUAGCCACCCUGUGUGGUCCCAGUACCAGGUGGGUCAAUUUGGUGACCCAGAGCCAACACUUACUGGCCCCCUGAUCCGGGCUGGCC
RNAcentral lists this long non-coding RNA (1266 nucleotides) under Bos indicus x Bos taurus (hybrid cattle). RNAcentral's name for it is "lncRNA (ENSBIXG00000015806.1)". Lineage: Eukaryota; Metazoa; Chordata; Mammalia; Artiodactyla; Bovidae. The record is from RNAcentral.